AUGGACUACCAGCCGAUCAUCUCCGCCCUCGACGUGCGCACAGAACCUGUAACCAUCGACGCGCUCUUCUCCAUGGUGGCGAACUUCGAUCAGCGGAUCGAGAUGUUCCAUGGCGGUGGUGCUGGUGGCUUCAAGUCAUCGGCCAACGCUGCGUCUCGGGGUCGUCCGAACACCGGCAAGGGCGGCUACCGCAACCAGAAG
Molecule: ribosomal RNA, 201 nt
Filed under: Triticum aestivum (bread wheat)
Lineage: Eukaryota; Viridiplantae; Streptophyta; Magnoliopsida; Poales; Poaceae
Description: partial small subunit ribosomal RNA
Source: RNAcentral